Molecule: ribosomal RNA, 374 nt
Filed under: uncultured bacterium
Lineage: Bacteria
Description: bacterial SSU rRNA
Rfam family: Bacterial small subunit ribosomal RNA
Source: RNAcentral
UACGGAGGGUGCGAGCGUUGUCCGGAAUCACUGGGCGUAAAGGGCGCGUAGGCGGUCUGCUAAGCGUGUGGUGAAAGCUCGGGGCUCAACCCCGAGUCGGCCAUGCGAACUGGUGGACUAGAGCACUGUAGAGGCAGGUGGAAUUCCGGGUGUAGCGGUGGAAUGCGUAGAGAUCCGGAAGAACACCGGUGGCGAAGGCGGCCUGCUGGGCAGUAGCUGACGCUGAGGCGCGAUAGCGUGGGGAGCAAACAGGAUUAGAUACCCUGGUAGUCCACGCCGUAAACGAUGGGUACUAGGUGCUUGGGGGAGCGACCCCCCGAGUGCCGGCGCUAACGCAUUAAGUACCCCGCCUGGGGAGUACGACCGCAAGGUUG